Molecule: long non-coding RNA, 2858 nt
Organism: Astatotilapia calliptera (eastern happy)
Lineage: Eukaryota; Metazoa; Chordata; Actinopteri; Cichliformes; Cichlidae
Source: Ensembl
UAAUGUAAACAACUAAAAUGUUUAUUAACCGAACUGAAUUUUUUUUUCUUUUACAGCAAAUUCUUAUCACAACACAGUCUUCAAAUGACACUUAACCCUUUGAGUACAGUUAGGUUGGCCACUCUGAUCUGAAGAGUAAGCAGUGAACAGACCAGGGGAUUCCUCUGCCAUAGUCCACUAUAAAACAUGAAGUGGCACAUCAGGAGCUCGAAAGUCCUAAACUUGUGUUAUUUUUUUUAAAAAGUCAGACAUAAAAGGAUAAAACACAAUGCCCCCCCCCCCCCCAAUUCCUUCCUUCCUUCUUUCUUUCUUUCUUUCUUUCUUUCUUUCUUUCUUUCUUUCUUUCUUUCUUUCUUUCUUUCUUUCUUUCUUUUUUUUUAGCAGAAACUGAAACAAGAACAUUUUCAAGAUUUUCGAUUUUCUUUACAUGUGUACAUGGUUCUAUGUUGUCUGAUUUCCAUGAAGUCAUGUUUCACUUCAGAUCAUACAAACAUGUUGGAGAAAAAAAAAAGCUCAUGAAUGCAGUGAGCAGCCUGUCCUGGCGCUUAGAAAAGACGCUUAUCUAUGCAGGUUCUGAUUUCCGAGUCUGAUUUCCACCUCUGCCGACUCUUAGUAAGGGACACCGAUUAGAGAUCAGAAUAUAUACACACAGGCUAAUCAAAACUGUGUUAUCCUAAAACAGUGAAAAGACAUGAAUCUAUGACGGAUACAAUACUAAACAGGUUAGAGCAAGAAUAGAAAAAUAAAUAGUAAAAACAAUAGAAAUGUUGCUUCUCUCAUAUUCAGCUUGCAACGCUCAGUUCCAAAGAAGCUGUGGUAGUGAAAAUUAUCCUCAUAGUCUUACUUUCUUUACAGUGACCUUCCCCUUUACACAGUAUUUACAAGCAAAAACAGAGCCUAUCCCACGAGAUAAGAAACGUAGUCCACUAAAAUGAAUACAUUUUUCAUGAACACAAUGGGAAUUUUUAAAAAACUGCAGAGUUGUAUCACAUUGUCAGUAUGUAAAAGCACUUACACACAGUUUGCAAACAGUGGUUUUUAGUAGACGUAGUUCAUAUCAAAUCAGUCAACAGAGCAAUCUGAAACUUUGUACAAUUAUCUGCUUUUGUUUCCUUUGAUUUUUUUUUGCUUUUGAUGGGUACAGAAAACAUUUACAUCAUCUUUUUUUCCCCUUCUGUAUGUGUACUUUGUCCACAGUUGACAAUUUCGGUAUUAGAGUGUUUAGAGUGUAAGGAGAGGUGAUACAAGGACAUCGUGGCUAAGGAGGACAUGCUGUAAUAAUUGCUCUCAACUCCAAAAAGCGAGGUCAUACCUAAAACUGUUUUAAAUACCAGUUAAAUUACAUAAAAUGUUUUUUUGAUAUAUAUAUAUUAAAGCCAGUGCAGACUAUAACAAUUGUAACAUGUCCCAAUUUUACCAUGAGUUGUCCUAUUGCUAUGCAAAUGGGUUGCAGCUUCUGCAUUCUUUUUUUAAUGGCAAACAAGGGGUGGGUCAUCUUGUUGCAACACGCCUGAUGGUUGUACAGAAGUCUCUUUGAAAACAGCCUUCAGCUCAGUGAACAUUUUAUUGAUGAGUUCAUGGUUUUAAUUGCUGGGUUUUGGUACAAUACCUUGUCACUGAAAAGAUUCCAUAUGAACUUAUUGUAUAGUAUCUUUCGAUUACAGGCAGAUCCACUCCUCACUGAUAGUUUAAAGAAAGCCAAGAUGGCAAAGGUGGAAGAACUCACCAACAAAACUAAUGACCUAGACCCUGAACCAUCCCUUAGUUAUGCUGCAGUAGGUUUAGACUUCUGGGGGUCAGGGCAGAUGGCUGCCUCUCCCUGAGCCUGGUUCUUCUCGAGGUUUAUUGCUGUUAUGGGUGUUUUUCCUUCCCACUGUUGCCAAGUGUUUGCUCAUUGGGGGUCACCUGAUUGUUGAGGUUCCUCUGCAUUAUUGUAGGAUCUUUAUCUUAUAGUAUAAAGUGCCUUGUUGUGACUUGGAGCAAUAUAAAUAAAACUGAAUCCCUCUGGUAUUCUUUAUAGUCUAGGAUUUCUACAGAAAAAUACUUUUUUUUUUUAAACUUGCCUAGAGAAGAUCCUAUGGAUUGCAAUGAAGCCUUUUCCAGGAUCUCUUGCAUUUGCAGCACUUGCAGUCAUUUGCUCUUAUCCUAAAGUUGUACAAAUGAAAAUGACAAGGCUGUUUUCUUUGGGUACAAGAGCCAAUUUCAUUAUUAUAGACUAUGUACCUCUCCAAUUUCUUGCCUUGGUGCCCUUUAGCCUCAUUGGAUUUUGUUCAUCUCAGUCUCAGACCUGUUUACAACCUGCUCCUCGAUACCAUCUUGUUUGCCGCUAUGACAGAAAUAUGGUACAGCAAGCGGAUUACUCAUGACGAUGGAUUAUUGUCUUGAUAAGACAACUGCAGUAAAAGUUAUGUAUUUUGGACUAGGCUUUUUUGCAGCUCACCAACUGAUUUCCAUGUCUUCACAAUUAAAAAAAAUGAAAGUUUCAUUUCCACUGUGAAGGAUUAUCUCAACCUGAAAGCUGUUUUUCAUCCUGACACGACGAAUGGAUUCUUCUGAAGGAGGAAAAUGAGUCCUGAUAUCUGCACUGACUGAGUGCAGAAGAUUCAAACACGAAGGAGAAAUCGAGAGAGAGAAGGCCCUAACUGUCGAAACUUUGAAAGGAAACCCCAGUUAUUAUUACAGCUGCCAAAAAUUAACUGAGUGGUAAGUUGAUGCGCAACAAAGGAUUACCUAAUAACAAUUUUUUUGCUUAUUUGAUCAGAGGGUGAACAUUUCACAUCAGAUUUCUGCAGUUAUAUAACAAUCAUGUUAUAUAACUGCAGCAUAAGUCGUGGCCUUGAAACCUAAUUUGCUUUUAG